This 31-nucleotide non-coding RNA is filed under the name Homo sapiens (human). Lineage: Eukaryota; Metazoa; Chordata; Mammalia; Primates; Hominidae. The record is from RNAcentral.
UGACCAGAGAGGCCAUCACAGCGGUGCACGC